RNAcentral lists this transfer RNA (86 nucleotides) under Butyricicoccus pullicaecorum. Its description in RNAcentral is "tRNA-Leu". It matches the Rfam family "tRNA". From Rfam's summary of the family: Transfer RNA (tRNA) molecules are approximately 80 nucleotides in length. Their secondary structure includes four short double-helical elements and three loops (D, anti-codon, and T loops). Lineage: Bacteria; Bacillati; Bacillota; Clostridia; Eubacteriales; Butyricicoccaceae. The record is from RNAcentral. RNAcentral also lists the same sequence under 6 other names.
GCGAGUGUGCUGGAACUGGUAGACAGGCACGUUUGAGGGGCGUGUGCUCAUAAGGCGUACGGGUUCAAGUCCCGUCACUCGCACCA